Molecule: long non-coding RNA, 222 nt
Filed under: Gallus gallus (chicken)
Lineage: Eukaryota; Metazoa; Chordata; Aves; Galliformes; Phasianidae
Source: RNAcentral
GAAGCACGUCCGUACAGAAUGCUCUGUGUAUCCAAAAGAAGGUCCCUCAAACACAGCAGUUGGAAGUUUUAGAACUUCUUUCAAAAACUGAUCAAACUUGGAGAAUAUCAUUAGUCCGUUUGAAUCUGAUAUUUGAGAGAAAAUAUAUCUUAGUUUGUCCAGUAUUUUGCCACCACACAUUGUUGCUAACAUUGCUUUCACUGAAAACACUGUCAGCUUCCC